AUGAAUAGGUGGCUGAAGCAUCAACCGGAAGAAAUCCUUGAUCAGGAAGAGAAAGCUUCAAUCAAGAACGUAUCAUCCAGUCAUGCAAAGGGAAGAAGAAGCGGCAACAACCUCGUCGAGGACGGUCGCAGAAGCAUCAGUCCUCCGGGCGCGGCGGACACCACAGCCACGACACGCCGCUCCUCCGAGCGGGCCUCGGCCCGGCUCUCCACAGAGCAGCCGCAUCACGCGGUGGAGGUGGCCCGCGCUCAAGUCCGAGCAACGGCGGCGUCCUCGCGUACGAGGUUUGGUGGCGCCUGGAUCCUCUCCCUGGCCCGGCGAGCCCUCGUGUCCGCCGCCGACGGCGGUAAUUUUCCCCUCAGGAACCGCACGAGAAGAAGAUUGGGGCAACCUUAUCCAUUCUGGCGAUUUUCGGUUUGGUUCUCCAACUUCCUAGUAUUCACAUAUUAG
RNAcentral lists this ribosomal RNA (450 nucleotides) under Triticum aestivum (bread wheat). RNAcentral describes it as "partial small subunit ribosomal RNA". The record is from RNAcentral. Lineage: Eukaryota; Viridiplantae; Streptophyta; Magnoliopsida; Poales; Poaceae.